UGGCUUGGGCACCUACCAAUCUCAAGUUUGGGGUCUUGCGGACCAUGCGUAAUGAGGUUUCACAAUCCGCACCAACACGAACACAUCUAGAGCAAGGUCUUGAUUAUGUGCCGACCUCAAGCCACCGACCUAUUCAGCCAUGUAGCUAGACAAUCAAUUAAAAUCUCCUAACAAACAAUAAGAAUGUGGCCACCACCCACGAC
This 203-nucleotide long non-coding RNA is filed under the name Elaeis guineensis (African oil palm). RNAcentral describes it as "long non-coding RNA (EGUI_LNC000390)". The record is from RNAcentral. Lineage: Eukaryota; Viridiplantae; Streptophyta; Magnoliopsida; Arecales; Arecaceae.